AGACUCGCAGCGCAGAAACACAUGGGGCACGCCCUCUGGGAUUUUUCCGUUUCCUCUACAUUAAUGAAGAUUAAAGUGUAAGAAAGGGCAGUCAUCAGUGGAACGGAUAAUUAAUGAUGAUUGAUGAUUUACUUUUAAUUUAAGCCCCACCAUUAAUUCAGAUGAACACAAAUACAAGAUCACUACUCAACACAUGUUAAGCUCGCCUCCUGAUUCACUUGGAUGUGAUGGAUAGCUUUGAAUGAGAGCACCUGAGCGUGCUGUAAAGGGCUUAAUUAAAACCAGCAAAAUCGUCAACGCCUGUUCCUUAGGUGAGAUCGGAUACCAGGCCUGCAUUGAUCUGGAGCAGCGCUGUGCUAAAGUCCUCCUUAGGAAAAAAUCGACCAUGAUAAGGACAUGGAGAUGUCUAAAUCCACUGAUUCACUGCAGAGAAAGGGGUAUUGGACAGUGCUCCAGAAGGAGUACCAUGUGUAUUUCAACUGUAAUCGGAGACAUCUAUUUUCAACCUCAACCACAAUCUCAUUUUUUAUGACAGCCAAGACAUGGAAAUAACCUAAGUGUCCUUCAAUGGAUUAAAGAAAAUAUUAUAUAAAUGUCUCCAUACUGGAAUAUUAUUCAGCCAUAAAAAGGAAAUUCUUCCAUUUGCAAAGACAUCAAUGAAACUUGGGUGCAUUACUCUAAAUGAUACAAACCAAACGGAAAAAGACAAAUACCAAAUUCAUUAUAUUCUCACUUAUAUGUGGAAUCUAAAAAACCAAGCUCAUGAAUACAGAUCACUGGUUGCCAGAGUUAGGAGAUAAGAAGGCGGACAAAAUGGAUGAAGGCAGUCAAAAGGCACAAACUUUCAGGUAUAAAACGAAGGUUAAGGGACUGUGAUGUACAGCUGGGUGACUAAAGUUCAUAAUACUGUAUAGAAGAUCUUACAAGUUCUCAUCAUAAGAAAAUAAAACUUUGUCAUUAGGUGUUGGGUGUUAACUAACCUUAUAUGGUCAUCAUUUUUCAAUAUAAAUAU
Bos taurus (domestic cattle) is the source of this 1012-nucleotide long non-coding RNA. The record is from Ensembl. NCBI's taxonomy places the organism in Eukaryota, Metazoa, Chordata, Mammalia, Artiodactyla, Bovidae.